RNAcentral lists this long non-coding RNA (6081 nucleotides) under Marmota monax (woodchuck). Lineage: Eukaryota; Metazoa; Chordata; Mammalia; Rodentia; Sciuridae. The record is from RNAcentral.
GUAUGGAAACAUCUUUGCAAAAGGGAAGCCUUCUCGAAACUCUUUGCAUUUUAGUGCAUGAGUGUAAAUGUCCUGGCUUAGACGAAUCCCAUCCCCAGCUUGGAUGAGACUACAAAUGAGAGCACAGGUCUGCAGCUGGCAGAACUCUUGCAGACAGGGGCACGUCAGACAAUCUCCAGCCCAGCCAGAUGGCAGGACUGCAGGAGGAGGCUCUCAGAGCAGUUAGAGUAACCAGAAUAGUUCUCUCCCUCUCCAAGUCUUCCCCUAAGCACCUUCUCCUUUCAUUUAGCCUGUGUAAUAAAUAUAAUUGGAAACGUCCAGUGCUCCCCCAUGCAGGGAAGCAUCAAUUACUCCUCCAGCUCUGGAGUUCUAAUUUGUAACAUAGAUUAAAUUCAGCUCCGGACUGGGGAGAGAUUGCACCUUUAAGAUUUGCCACGUUGUUUAGGGAAAUCACUCACAAUGCACAUUAGGAUGGAUUUAAACGUGUCAGUAUUAAUACCGGCCAUUUCCCUGUUGUCACAUGUUGUUAGAAGAACAAUUAUUUCACGUCUGAGUAGAAAUCUUACUCGGAGGCUAAAGUUAAUGUAGCAUAUGGAGCGGCGAGGAAGCAGGCUUGGGCGUCUUGUGCACGCGGGCCGUCGCCCAUUACGGUGCUGGUUAGCAUACUCCUUCCUCCCCAUCUGUUUUCCUACAGAGGAGACGAUUAUUGUUUUGCUUAGAACAGGCUUUGGCCCCUCUGCACUCGGAAUGAUGGAACGUGGACUCGCAGUUUAGAGGGCGAAAGAGGAUUGAUCUGUGAGCCCUCUCCAAUCCCCGGCUCGGCCUCCUGCUCUCCCAAGGAUAAAUCUCGUUUUCAGAUAAAUCCAGAUUGCUUUUCCAAUAGAUUGGCUUUUAGCCUCCCCCGCUGAACCGUACUUUGACAUAACCCGACAGCCUCCCUGUGGCUGUGAAGAAAUCAUUCCUAACAUUGGAGGUUAAUUUGCUAAAUGAAGCGUUGGGUUUUCUUUCAUGGAAACAAGAAAAAUUGUUUGGAUGAGGUUAGAAAAGGCAAAGCGGCUCGGAGAACAUUCCCUGGGGCUUCAUCCCAGCACGAACCUCGAUUGGACAUUUAUUCCAGGGUUAAAUGAAUAAAUAGUGGAAAGCAGCCCUGUCAUUUCUGCAUUGGCCUUUACACAUGGAGCGAUGGUGAGGGACGGACACAGGCUGGAAUUGGCCCCCAUUGGGCAGAUGGGUAAACCGAGGCCCACAGAGCUGAACCUGGUCUGCCCCCGUCAUGCCUCAAGGUUGCCCUUCAGGGAGGGACCCUGGUCUCUCUUCCUGUGCUGUGUCCCUUUACCCUUUAGUAGAUCAGAAUCCAAGUGCUUGCAAGGGAAAGGGAACAGAAAGAGAGUUGGGAUGGGAUCAUUUUCACAUUUUUCUCUGCACAGAGGAUCCCAGCUGUGGAGACUGGGGGAUGUCAUCAAUCUCUGGUCUCAGGAUCCCUGUCAAUAUCAUGUUCUGUAGCCAGGGAACCUCAGGUUGUUUUGUGAGGCUCACCCAGUGGCCAGGACAGACAGAAUUGAUUGGACUUGUUAUUUCAUGGUAGGAUCUGAUGAGAGGUCAGGUCCCUGAGAUCUGGGAGGGAGAGGUCAAGGGUGUGGGGCAUGUGCAAGGGUCCUGGGACUGAGAGGCUGCUGUGGGCAUCCUGGCCAAGCUGCAGCCUCCAGAGGAGGGUAUCUGUGGGCAAGGAAAGGGCACACAAGAGUCUUGUCAGGAAAUUCCUGGGAAGGAGGCCUUCAGGGAGAAAAAUGUGAUCUGAAAGAGGCCACAAGGAGGGGAUCAGAGACUGACUUCAAGAACACAGGAGAUCAGAGAAGCACUCAGGGUUGUGGGCUUCUGAAAACCAUCAAGUUCAAGUUCAAGCAAUUAGAGGGUACAGAGCUGUUGGACUUGUCUCUGAUGGCAAUAUCUCGGGAGCUUUUACUUGUUUCCUCUGAUCUUUAGUGGAAAAAUAUGUGUUUUGGGUCACAUUGUGUGACCCUAACAUUCCUGUGUUGAAGAAGUCCUGAGCUCUCAUAGCUCAGAAUGCAAGCUUCUUUGGAGACGGGGUUUUUACACAGUUAUCAAGUAAAAUGAGGUGCUGCAGUGAGCCCUGGUCCAACAUGACGGGUGUCCACGUGCAGAGGGAAAGUCUGGACCCAGGUAGAAAUGGAGGACGAGGUGAGGGGCACAGGGAGAAGAGACCCUCGACAAGCCACGGAGGAGGCCCGACGAAGGCAGCCUCGCCGCACACUGGACCCUGGACUUAUGGCCUCCAGACCCCAGAAAAAGUGCAUGUCCCUCGGUGGGAGGUGUCCGGUGUGGCAGCCCUGGCAGGUGAACACAGUAGGUGAACAUAAAAACAGCCGCUGCAGCAGGAGAGGGCUGGACGUCGUGCUCCGUGGGAAAGCCAGACAGGACGGUCACGGCCGGGCAGACCUGUUUACAUGAAGCCUCAGAACGGUGAGUCCAUCGCGACAGGAAGCGGGUGGAGGGCUGCCAGGGCCUGGGAGAGGGGGACCGGGCUGUGCUUGCUGGAUGGACAGGGGUCCCUGAGGAGAGAUAAUAGUGCCCCAUGACCAGAUGGCGGUGAGGGUGGGGACAGUGAGGGGCUCAGUGCUAGUGCCCGGCCUGCUCGAAAGUGGUGGAUUUUGUUAUGGGACUUUUAUCUCAAUUAAAACAAAUGAAAAAGGCAGCCCCCUGUGUGUCACUGGGGAGAUGGGGACCCUGGUAGGGAAAGAGGAGACCCGCGGAUGCCCUGUCCCGUUCCGAAGCUCGCCUCGAGGGAGCCAUAGAGAUGAGCAUGGAAAGGGAGCAACUCGGGGCCACGGGACUCCCAGGGCUGCGGAGGAGGGAGGAGAGGCGCUGGCGCUGGUCUGCCCAAGUGGCCACGGGCCUUGCACAGGGCCCUUCAGAACACAGGGGACAGGAGGGUCCCCAGUGGCUUCCUGUGCUGUGACUGUGCUGAGCUCACAUGAAGAUCCUCCACCCCGUCUGGUGAGUCCCUGUGGACAUGUGUGCUGGGCUUCGGGGGCAUGUUGGAAUACCUCUCCUUCCUUGGGAAACUUGCAAGCUUUUGAGACUUGCCUCCCCAAACAGAAGACUCUCCCGCAAACGUCCUUGCCUCUAGGGCACAGUGUGACCGCCCGAGAACAAUCUAGAAGGUGGUGACGUCAGCAUGAGAUUCUUUGUCCUUUGCUCCCUGUGAGAGUGGGAAAGGGCAUCCAGCACUCAGGAGCUGUUGACGGAGCCCAGGGUUGGGGUCCUGCACCCCACUAUGGAGGGGUGAUCUAUGGCGUCCCACGUGGCUCUCUGGGAUAGAGAUGGCCUGUGGCCUGGCUGUGGAGCCUCCAGCCUUGAUUCUCCUGGCGAUUCUCAGGCGGCCUUUAUACCUGAGCAGACUGGGACUUUGCCAGGAGGGACCUUGGCUGAGAACCUGCCAGCCCCAUGCUGGACAGCCCGCCGGCCUUGGACACAAGGUCACAGGGGCUCCACGGGGACUGUUUGUGGGAGAGGUGGCGAGCUCCCCUGCAGCAGCCAGCACUUUCCUUUUCCCCUGAGUUUUCCUUCUCCCUGGAAAACUUUAGGCUCCUCACACCAGACCCCUCCUGCACAGCAUGGAGGGCGACGGGCUCCCUAGAGCAGAGGGGACCGCACCUCUCAGUGACAUGAGUGGUGGAACCCGAGAGCCCAGAUGGCAGUCAGGGCGAAUCUGCCCUCCUCACCGUGCUCAUGAAUUCAAAGUGCAUCUUGGAGUGGAUGUCAUCUGGGCUACUUCGUUUGCUCCACAGAAUGUCAUAUGAAUGAAGCAGAGACAUUCUACCGCCAAGGCUGAUGCUGUGGUUGGAUCAGAAGUGUCCCCCAAGAGUCCAUGUGUAAAGUCUUGGUCCCCAGCCUGGUGCUCUUGGGAGAUGGUGGGACCUUCAUGAGCUGGUCUGGUGGGAGGUCUUUAGGUCACUGUGGGGUGCGCUCAAAGGGGGUGGGGAGACCCAGUCUCUUCUCUCUCUCACUUCUGGUUUCUUCCUGGCCAGGAGGUACAUGGUCUUGCCAGAUGCUCCUGUCAUAAAGUGCUGCCUCCCUCAGGCCCAGGGGCAGCAAGGCCAACUGAUCGUGGACCCCAACCUCCACAACUGCGAGCCGAAGUGACCUUCCACACCUACCAGAUCACCACGGGGAGGUGUCCAGACUCAUACAGGCAGAGGCAGGAGCCACAGAGGUUUCGUCACCUUCCCCGUCCAGAGCUCUUCCCACAGAGACGAGUGUGCGUGUCCACGGGUAUGGGUGCAGCGUGCCUGGGGAGCCCGGGCACGUGGCCCUCCCUCACCUGCCAUUUCAUGUUCCUUGGCAACAGUUACCCAGGAUCUGAAAAUAUCACUGUAAAUGUUACCAAACCACAAUAAGAAAUGAAGACUUUCCUUUUUCUGCAGAGAGAGAUCAUGCACACAGUGCUCACCCUGGCGUAUUGUCGUACUCUUUCGAUUGUAUCAUUAUUAUUAUUAACCUCUUACUGUGCCUAAUUUAUCAAUGAAACCAUCAACGGAAUCAUAGGAUGUGUAGACACAGGAAAACCAGAGUGUGUCCCGGGCUUGGUGUGUCUGUGGUUCUAGGUGUCCAGUGGGGAUCUCAGCACGUGGCCCCCGUGGACAGGGGGCACCACUGCACUGUAUGCAUUUGAAACAGGCUGAAACCAGCUUGUCACGGACUCCUCAAGCUCCCCCACCCCUGAGGUGCCUUCUCCUCUUUAUAUAAAUCAUAGCCAAUUUAGGUUUUUUUUUUGGGGGGGGGUGGGGGGAGAGGGCAGUGAAUGGAUAAAUUUCCCUAUUUUUUUUUCUUUUGAAAAAUUCAUUUUUAAUUGACAAAUGGCGACGUGCAUAUUUAUGGGCUGUGAUGUGGUGUCCUGAUCGACGUGCUCAUGAAAGUGAAAUCAGCCAGGCACGGGAAGACAGAUGUGACAUGAUCUUGGCUUGUGUGUGGAAUCUAAAGAAGUCGGUCCCACCCAACGGAGCACAAAGGUGGUUACCAGAUGCGGGAGUGGGGAGCAGGCCGGGGAGGGGAGGACGCUGAUCAAAGGGCGUGAAGUUGAGGUGAGGAAUAUGUUGAUCGGCGGCGGGGACAUUCUGACUGGAGAUAUCUUUGUUCUCGUCUCUGUGUCCCCAGCAGUGACAGCUGUUUCCCCUCAACCCCACCUGCAUUCAAGAUGGCGUCUCUCUGGCACAUAAGGGACCAGAGGUCACAGAGGCUAGGCCGGCGUCUAAGCUUUGUAGGUUGGUGACAACAUGGAGGAGGCGGAGGCGGGCCCCACGUGGAGCUCUGUGGGCUGAUGGUUGAGGACUUUCUGUGGGGGAAUGAGCUGCCAUGUUGUUCCUCCACCAUGCUCACCCUGUCCCUGCUCCCUAGCGACAGUGUGCCUGCCCACCCAGGCAGGAUCGUGGUUUCCUUCCCUGAAACACCUGGCUUUGUGUGUCUGUCCCCAGCUGUCCUCGACAGAAACAGGCACCAGCAUUUGGGGAACUGUUGCCUCUGGGUUCAGACCACGGGUAGAAUCCAGGUGGCUGGGCCCGUGGCUGAAAUAAAAUGCAGGGGAAGAGAGGGGACCAGGCCCUGGUUCUGGGGAAUUCUGAGGCCCAUCUCCCUUUUAUUCCAGGCUGGUCCAUCCGACUGUCCCUUCCUUUCCUGAGCUGGGAUACGCGGGGUUCCCAGGUGCUGUGGCCUGGCUUGUGUCUCAUGAUGUGACUUCCAUGGGGCCCUGAAGGCAGAGCACCUUCUCAAGAGCUCCCAGGCCAAGUCCUCCUUGUAGCCACGCGGCUGAGACCUCCAGCUCUCUGCUUGCCCAGUCCUGGCCUUCCGGCUGGUCCCUGUGCCAUAUAUCAUAUGGUGACGUCCCCUCCAACCCCCUCCCUGGGACAUUAGUGAUAAUCCAUCGUGGGUGGGGAAGCAUGGGCUAACUUCUCACUAAAUAUUCCCUUUAGAAAAGCAGCAGAAAACUGUCCUGGGCAGAGUGAUUCAGCGACUGAUCCUGGGAGAGAAUCUCCCACGUUCAGUACGGUGGGGGGGCUGGGAGGU